GAUGAACGCUAGCGGGAGGCCUAACACAUGCAAGCCGAGCGGGAUUUGUUGGUUAGCUUGCUAACUAACAAUGAGAGCGGCGUACGGGUGCGUAGCACGUGUGCAACCUGCCUUUAUCUGGGGGAUAGCCUUUCGAAAGGAAGAUUAAUACCCCAUAACAUAUUGAUUGGCAUCAGUUAAUAUUGAAAGCUCCGGCGGAUAUAGAUGGGCACGCGUAAGAUUAGCUAGUUGGUGAGGUAACGGCUCACCAAGGCUGCGAUCUUUAGGGGGCCUGAGAGGGUGAUCCCCCACACUGGUACUGAGACACGGACCAGACUCCUACGGGAGGCAGCAGUGAGGAAUAUUGGACAAUGGGUGAGAGCCUGAUCCAGCCAUCCCGCGUGAAGGACUAAGGACCUAUGGGUUGUAAACUUCUUUUAUACAGGGAUAAACCUACUCUCGUGAGGGUAGCUGAAGGUACUGUAUGAAUAAGCACCGGCUAACUCCGUG
RNAcentral lists this ribosomal RNA (489 nucleotides) under uncultured bacterium. RNAcentral describes it as "partial 16S ribosomal RNA". It matches the Rfam family "Bacterial small subunit ribosomal RNA", at positions 28 to 507 of the family's 1533-position model. The record is from RNAcentral.